RNAcentral lists this non-coding RNA (101 nucleotides) under human gut metagenome. RNAcentral's name for it is "NiCo riboswitch". It matches the Rfam family "NiCo (Nickel/Cobalt) riboswitch aptamer". The record is from RNAcentral.
ACAGUACAAACUGAACAGGCAGUAAUCAGAUUGAUUAUGUGCCGGGUCACUUACAUUUCGUAUUUUCGUGACAGCAGACAGCAUAGCAUCUGCGGGACAGU